GUCCGCCUGCCCUGUGACUAUAUGUUUAACGGCCGCGGUAUUUUGACCGUGCGAAGGUAGCGCAAUCACUUGUCUUUUAAAUGGAGACCUGUAUGAAUGGCAUAACGAGGGCUUAGCUGUCUCCUCUUUCUAGUCAAUGAAAUUGAUCUUCCCGUGCAGAAGCGGGAAUUACACCAUAAGACGAGAAGACCCUAUGGAGCUUUAGACACUAAAGUAGCUCAUGUUAAGUACCCCUCCUCACAGGGAAUUAAACAAGAUGGGCCCUACCCUAAUGUCUUUGGUUGGGGCGACCGCGGGGAAUACAAAACCCCCACGUGGAAUAGGAGCACCCUGCUCCUUUAACUCAGAGCCACAGCUCUAAGUAACAGAAUUUCUGACCGAUACAGAUCCGGCAAUGCCGAUCAACGGACCGAGUUACCCUAGGGAUAACAGCGCAAUCCCCUUUUAGAGCCCAUAUCGACAAGGGGGUUUACGACCUCGAUGUUGGAUCAGGACAUCCUAAUGGUGCAGCCGCUAUUAAGGGUUCGUUUGUUCAACGAUUAAAGUCCUACGUGAUCUG
RNAcentral lists this ribosomal RNA (559 nucleotides) under Maxillicosta scabriceps. RNAcentral's name for it is "partial 16S ribosomal RNA". It matches the Rfam family "Bacterial large subunit ribosomal RNA", at positions 1853 to 2607 of the family's 2925-position model. The record is from RNAcentral. Lineage: Eukaryota; Metazoa; Chordata; Actinopteri; Perciformes; Neosebastidae.